AGGCUGCAGAGAGAGCAAGGGCAAAGGAGCUUUAAGAGGAGUGGGUGGUCCACACGCUGUAUUAUCGGGGAAAGGUCUGCAAACAAGGGUCACCUGCUACCCAGGAGACCCGCCCCAAGUGUAGCAACCCUCAAGGACCCUGGGCCCACAGGAGGGUGCUUGGCACUGAGCAUGGCAUCUACAAGUGGGCCAGGAGUGAGUCAGUGAGCGUGCCGCCCACUGUGAAGACCUGCCAGAGGACACACCGGGCAGCAGCCCCACAAGGAGGAAGCUCCGGGACUAUGCUUCCAACCAGUGUGCCUUUCCUUGCUCACAGGCUGCCUAGAACUGGCAAUACUGCGCCCUCAGCUUCCUGAACUCUGGGAUUACAAGUCAGUGCUAACACACCUGGCUACGACAUCCCUGUUAUGUUAUUGUUUUGUUUUGAGACAGGGUCUCUAACUGGAUGUCCUGGGACACACUGUGCAGACUAGGUGGCCCCAAACUCACAGAGAUCUGCCUACCUCCCAAGUGUCGGGAUGAAAGGCGUGUGCCACCACCACCACCACCUGGCUGACCACAUCACUUUUUUAAAGGUCUUUUCUUCUCUGCGAACCCCGUAAAGACAGAGGUUCAGACACCAUGAAGUAUUUGUCCUGAUGAAAGGAAUCAUUGCUUUGUUUUAUCUGGGAUACCGGGACUUGAACCAGAACCUUACCACUCUACCCAAGCUCUAACACUGAGCUCUGCCCCUCAACCCAUUUACUACCGGUUUGGGUUUUUUUUGUUUGUUUGUUUUAGAUAGGGUCUCAUGUACCCCACAAAUUGACCUCAAACUUAUUUUGGUAGUUAAGUAUGGCCUUAAAAUCUUGAUCCUCCUGCCAAGUACUAAAUGGCAGGUAUGAGUGA
Long non-coding RNA from Rattus norvegicus (Norway rat), 888 nucleotides. RefSeq lists it as uncharacterized. Lineage: Eukaryota; Metazoa; Chordata; Mammalia; Rodentia; Muridae. The record is from RefSeq and is a predicted model, not a curated record.